UCCGGUUUAUCACCGGCAGUCACCUUAGAGUGCCCAACUGAAUGCUGGCAACUAAGAUCAAGGGUUGCGCUCGUUGCGGGACUUAACCCAACAUCUCACGACACGAGCUGACGACAACCAUGCACCACCUGUCACCCAUGUCCCCGAAGGGAAAUCCCUAUCUCUAGGAGUGUCAGAGGAUGUCAAGACCUGGUAAGGUUCUUCGCGUUGCUUCGAAUUAAACCACAUGCUCCACCGCUUGUGCGGGUCCCCGUCAAUUCCUUUGAGUUUUAACCUUGCGGCCGUACUCCCCAGGCGGUCAACUUAGUGCGUUAGCUGCGCCACUAAGGAUUCAAGAUCCCCAACGGCUAGUUGACAUCGUUUACGGCGUGGACUAC
Molecule: unclassified non-coding RNA, 377 nt
Filed under: uncultured bacterium
Lineage: Bacteria
Description: contains 16S-23S intergenic spacer region
Source: RNAcentral